UACGUAGGGGGCAAGCGUUGUCCGGAAUCAUUGGGCUUAAAGCGCGCGUAGGCGGCCCGGUAAGUCCGUUGUGAAAGUCAAAGGCUCAACCUUUGAACGCCGAUGGAUACUGCCGGGCUAGAGUCCGGGAGAGGCGAGUGGAAUUCCUGGUGUAGCGGUGGAAUGCGCAGAUAUCAGGAGGAACACCAAUAGCGAAGGCAGCUCGCUGGGACGGUACUGACGCUGAGGCGCGAAAGCGUGGGGAGCGAACAGG
This 253-nucleotide ribosomal RNA is filed under the name uncultured bacterium. RNAcentral's name for it is "partial 16S ribosomal RNA". It matches the Rfam family "Bacterial small subunit ribosomal RNA", at positions 524 to 776 of the family's 1533-position model. The record is from RNAcentral.